RNAcentral lists this ribosomal RNA (481 nucleotides) under uncultured bacterium. RNAcentral describes it as "partial 16S ribosomal RNA". It matches the Rfam family "Bacterial small subunit ribosomal RNA", at positions 30 to 506 of the family's 1533-position model. The record is from RNAcentral.
AUUGAACGCUGGCGGCAGGCCUAACACAUGCAAGUCGAGCGGAUGAAGGGAGCUUGCUCCUGGAUUCAGCGGGACGGGUGAGUAAUGCCUAGGAAUCUGCCUGGUAGUGGGGGAUAACGUCCGGAAACGGGCGCUAAUACCGCAUACGUCCUGAGGGAGAAAGUGGGGGAUCUUCGGACCUCACGCUAUCAGAUGAGCCUAGGUCGGAUUAGCUAGUUGGUGGGGUAAAGGCCUACCAAGGCGACGAUCCGUAACUGGUCUGAGAGGAUGAUCAGUCACACUGGAACUGAGACACGGUCCAGACUCCUACGGGAGGCAGCAGUGGGGAAUAUUGGACAAUGGGCGAAAGCCUGAUCCAGCCAUGCCGCGUGUGUGAAGAAGGUCUUCGGAUUGUAAAGCACUUUAAGUUGGGAGGAAGGGCAGUAAGUUAAUACCUUGCUGUUUUGACGUUACCAACAGAAUAAGCACCGGCUAACUGCGU